RNAcentral lists this ribosomal RNA (255 nucleotides) under Salmonella enterica subsp. enterica serovar Tennessee. RNAcentral's name for it is "partial 23S ribosomal RNA". It matches the Rfam family "Bacterial large subunit ribosomal RNA", at positions 541 to 796 of the family's 2925-position model. Lineage: Bacteria; Pseudomonadati; Pseudomonadota; Gammaproteobacteria; Enterobacterales; Enterobacteriaceae. The record is from RNAcentral.
AAAAAGAACCUGAAACCGUGUACGUACAAGCAGUGGGAGCACAGGUUUACCUGUGUGACUGCGUACCUUUUGUAUAAUGGGUCAGCGACUUAUAUUCUGUAGCAAGGUUAACCGAAUAGGGGAGCCGCAGGGAAACCGAGUCUUAACCGGGCGUUAAGUUGCAGGGUAUAGACCCGAAACCCGGUGAUCUAGCCAUGGGCAGGUUGAAGGUUGGGUAACACUAACUGGAGGACCGAACCGACUAAUGUUGAAAAA